Molecule: long non-coding RNA, 668 nt
Organism: Symphalangus syndactylus (siamang)
Lineage: Eukaryota; Metazoa; Chordata; Mammalia; Primates; Hylobatidae
Source: RefSeq, a predicted model, not a curated record
AGUCGCCAGACUGCAGCCCACCACAGGCGUCAUGUCCCAGAUCUACAAGGAAGGAAGAAACGCGGAAACGGCAGCAGUGAUAACCAGGUCUAAUGGCAGGUGGUGAGGGAGGCUGGUGAUGUGUGGGGAUACUACCUGGGGACACUGUCCCUAAGAGAGACGCAGCAGGCUGUGCUGCCAAUGGCACGGAUAUUUAAUUGCCGGAGGAAGGAAAAUGCAGUGAAUUGCGCACACAGGAAAUGCCUUGAUUGAUGGGACUAUUUUUUCUUUCCCUAGAUAAAGAAAUACACUCCACAAUGAUGCACUUUGAAGGAAUGCUAUGGGACCACAGUGGUGCUUCGGAGGACCUCUAUGCAGUCCAAAUACCUAGAUAUGCCAGAAAUCUGUCUCAAAGUGUUGUCUCAGUGUAUUGCUCAAGGCUGAGAACCAGCCUAAAUGCUGAUUGUAUAUACUGCAUGUCAUUGGUAGAAACUCUCAAAUGAGCAGAGGAAGCAAUGCAAAAUGACACAAAGGACCUUGUCAGAAAUAACCCAUUAGCAGAAGGGGAAGCUGGGACUGUCUGCACCUGGACCGGGCAUUUACAGCUUGCGGGGUGAAAAGCCAAGAAGCAGCCAGGUUCUUGGGGGUCUCUCCUGAUCAGCCUGGACUUGCCCUUGUCUCUUACCUCU